Molecule: ribosomal RNA, 679 nt
Filed under: Psilocybe mexicana
Lineage: Eukaryota; Fungi; Basidiomycota; Agaricomycetes; Agaricales; Agrocybaceae
Description: eukaryotic LSU rRNA
Rfam family: 5.8S ribosomal RNA (bases 271-424)
Source: RNAcentral
UAGAGGAAGUAAAAGUCGUAACAAGGUUUCCGUAGGUGAACCUGCGGAAGGAUCAUUAUUGAAUGAACUUGACUUGGUUGUAGCUGGUCCUCUAGGGGACAUGUGCUCGCCUUGUCAUCUUUAUCUAUCCACCUGUGAACCUUUUGUAGACUUGGGACUAGUGAAUUGGAGAGCAUGCUCUCUUUGUAGCUAUACCAGGCCUAUGUUUUCAUAUACCCCAAAGAAUGUAACAGAAUGUAUUGUAUGGCCUUGUGCCUAUAAAUCAUAUACAACUUUCAGCAACGGAUCUCUUGGCUCUCGCAUCGAUGAAGAACGCAGCGAAAUGCGAUAAGUAAUGUGAAUUGCAGAAUUCAGUGAAUCAUCGAAUCUUUGAACGCACCUUGCGCUCCUUGGUAUUCCGAGGAGCAUGCCUGUUUGAGUGUCAUUAAAUUCUCAACCUUACCAGCUUUUGCUGAUAAUGGCUUGGAUGUGGGGGUUUCAUUUGCUGGCUUUGGUCGGCUCCCCUCAAAUGCAUUAGCUGGUACCCCGCGCGGAGCCGUCUAUUAGUGUGAUAAUUAUCUACGCUGUGGACAUCUGCAUCAAUGGGAUUGUACUGCUUCUAACCGUCCGUUUACUGGACAAUACAAUGACAAUUUGACCUCAAAUCAGGUAGGACUACCCGCUGAACUUAAGCAUAUCA